This 27-nucleotide non-coding RNA is filed under the name Cricetulus griseus (Chinese hamster). The record is from RNAcentral. Lineage: Eukaryota; Metazoa; Chordata; Mammalia; Rodentia; Cricetidae.
AAACAGGUAAAUAGUAGAGGAUCAUGA